GAUGAACGCUAGCGACAGGCUAACACAUGCAAGUCGAGGGGUAACAGGGUAGCAAUACCGCUGACGACCGGCGCACGGGUGAGUAACGCGUAUGCAACCUGCCUAUAACUGGGGAAUAGCUCCCUGAAAGGGGAAUUAACACCGCAUAACACUAUUGAUUCGCAUGGAUUGGUAGUUAAAUGUAGCGAUACAGGUUAUAGAUGGGCAUGCGUGACAUUAGCUAGUUGGUGAGGUAACGGCUCACCAAGGCUACGAUGUCUAGGGGUUCUGAGAGGAAGGUCCCCCCACACUGGUACUGAGACACGGACCAGACUCCUACGGGAGGCAGCAGUGAGGAAUAUUGGUCAAUGGGCGCAAGCCUGAACCAGCCAUGUCGCGUGCAGGAAGAACCUGCCCUAUGGGUUGUAAACUGCUUUUAUAGUAGAAGAAACACAUCUACGUGUAGAUGUCUGCCAGUAUACUAUGAAUAAGCAUCGGCUAACUCCGUGCCAGCCGCCGC
This 499-nucleotide ribosomal RNA is filed under the name uncultured bacterium. RNAcentral describes it as "bacterial SSU rRNA". It matches the Rfam family "Bacterial small subunit ribosomal RNA", at positions 28 to 518 of the family's 1533-position model. The record is from RNAcentral.